RNAcentral lists this RNase P RNA (346 nucleotides) under Actinomycetota bacterium. RNAcentral describes it as "RNase P RNA component class A". It matches the Rfam family "Bacterial RNase P class A". Rfam says of the family: Ribonuclease P (RNase P) is a ubiquitous endoribonuclease, found in archaea, bacteria and eukarya as well as chloroplasts and mitochondria. Its best characterised activity is the generation of mature 5'-ends of tRNAs by cleaving the 5'-leader elements of precursor-tRNAs. Cellular RNase Ps are ribonucleoproteins. The record is from RNAcentral. Lineage: Bacteria; Bacillati; Actinomycetota.
CGUGCAGGCUGGACAGUCGCGGGAAGCUGUGCUUCUCGAGGAAAGUCCGGACAUCGCAGGGCAGGGUGGUCGGUAACGCCGACCCGGGGAAACCCGCGGGAAAGUGCAACAGAAAGAACACCGCCCAAGUCCUGGGCUUCGCGGUUUUUCCGCGAGCCCGGAACCGGCAAGGUUGAAAAGGUGCGGUAAGAGCGCACCGGCGUCGCGGUGACGCGGCGGCCCGGCAAACCCCACCCGAUGCAAGGCCAAGCAGGACCGCUCGCAGGCUGCCCGCCAAGGUCCAGGUAGGCCGCUCAGAUGGAUGGCUGUCCACGACAGAAUCCGGCUUAUAGGCCUGCUACGGAAU